Molecule: ribosomal RNA, 427 nt
Filed under: uncultured bacterium
Lineage: Bacteria
Description: bacterial SSU rRNA
Rfam family: Bacterial small subunit ribosomal RNA
Source: RNAcentral
UGGGGAAUUUUCCGCAAUGGGCGAAAGCCUGACGGAGUGACGCCGCGUGUGGGACGAAGGCCUUCGGGUCGUAAACCACUGUCAGUGGGAAAGAAGGGUGUCGGCGCUAAUACCGCCGGCACUUGACGGUACCUGCAGAGGAAGCCCCGGCUAACUACGUGCCAGCAGCCGCGGUAAUACGUAGGGGGCAAGCGUUGUCCGGAUUUAUUGGGCGUAAAGAGCGUGUAGGCGGUCUGGUAGGUCCGUUGUGAAAACUCGAGGCUCAACCUCGAGACGCCGAUGGAAACCCUCAGACUAGAGUCCGGAAGAGGAGAGUGGAAUUCCUGGUGUAGCGGUGAAAUGCGCAGAUAUCAGGAAGAACACCCGUGGCUAAGGCGGCUCUCUAGUACGUGACUGACGCUGAGACGCGAAAGCGUGGGGAGCGAAC